RNAcentral lists this ribosomal RNA (253 nucleotides) under uncultured bacterium. RNAcentral's name for it is "partial 16S ribosomal RNA". It matches the Rfam family "Bacterial small subunit ribosomal RNA", at positions 524 to 776 of the family's 1533-position model. The record is from RNAcentral.
UACGUAGGGUGCAAGCGUUAAUCGGAAUUACUGGGCGUAAAGCGCACGUAGGCGGCUUUGUAAGUUAGAGGUGAAAGCCCGGGGCUCAACUCCGGAAUUGCCUUUAAGACUGCAUCGCUAGAAUUGUGGAGAGGUAAGUGGAAUUCCGAGUGUAGAGGUGAAAUUCGUAGAUAUUCGGAAGAACACCAGUGGCGAAGGCGACUUACUGGACACAUACUGACGCUGAGGUGCGAAAGCGUGGGGAGCAAACAGG